This 323-nucleotide long non-coding RNA is filed under the name Durio zibethinus. RNAcentral describes it as "long non-coding RNA (DZIB_LNC002087)". Lineage: Eukaryota; Viridiplantae; Streptophyta; Magnoliopsida; Malvales; Malvaceae. The record is from RNAcentral.
AUUACAUGUUUUCUAUGUGCAUCUGAGAUCAGAUAUCUUUUGGUGAUAGCUGAUAGCUACCUUAGGACUGGUAUCCUAUCAAGUGCAAUUGUAAUGAUCUGCUUUGGGUUUUUUGGGCUAUGCAAAAAUGCCGGCUAACUUAUUUUCUUUCCAUAAAAGAUAUGCUUAUAGCUUUCUUUUUUGUCUUUCUUUCAAUUCUUGUCCUCAACUACCGAAAAAGCCUAAAGUUAAAAACCAAUUCCCAAUUGAAAACCCCGAGUUCCCAAUAUGAAGCCACCUUCUUCACCCCAACAUACGCAUAACUCCUUACUUCAUAGUUUAUU